This 1473-nucleotide ribosomal RNA is filed under the name fungal endophyte. RNAcentral's name for it is "eukaryotic LSU rRNA". The stretch from base 894 to 1473 matches the Rfam family "Eukaryotic large subunit ribosomal RNA", at positions 1 to 585 of the family's 3401-position model. The record is from RNAcentral. Lineage: Eukaryota; Fungi.
GAUCCUUCUGCAGUGGCACUUAUCGAAGCCUUUGUGGCCCCGCAAGGGGUCUGCACCGCGACUGGAAACAAUGGUUGCAGCGCCCGGAGCGAUCCGGGUGUGCAAGUCAGCGUCCGCUGGCGACACUUUCGAAUUGCGGGGAUACCCUAAAGCUCGCCCUACCAACCGGCCAGAGAAAUCUGCGCCGGGGCCCGUGUUAACAGCACGGGGUGCGGUAACAACGGGUCGAGAUGUGACAAUGGGCGAUCCGCAGCCAAGUCCCUAACGGCCACCCCUGGUGGCCCACGGGAAAGGUUCACAGACUAAGUGGAAGUGGGCGGCCCCGCCGCUUAAGAUAUAGUCGGGCCCCCGGGGAAACCCGGGGGGGCAAGCCACUACAAAACCGUUCCGUAGGUGAACCUGCGGAAGGAUCAUUAUCGAGUUCCGGGUCCUCUGGGCCCGCACUCCCACCCUUUGUGUACCUACCUCUAUUCGGUUGCCUUGGCGGACCCCGCCCGGGACCUCACGGUCUCUGGGCGAGCCGCCAGGGGACCUCUCCUAAACUCUUGUCAACGGUGUUGUCUGAGAAAACGCAAAUGAAUUAAAACUUUCAACAACGGAUCUCUUGGUUCUGGCAUCGAUGAAGAACGCAGCGAAAUGCGAUAAGUAAUGUGAAUUGCAGAAUUCAGUGAAUCAUCGAAUCUUUGAACGCACAUUGCGCCCUUUGGUAUUCCGAGGGGCAUGCCUGUUCGAGCGUCAUUACAACCCUCAAGCUCCGGCUUGGUGUUGGGCGCCGUCCUCACCGGACGCGCCUGAAACCCGUGGGCGGUGGCGGCCGAGCUCCCAGCGUAGUCAAUUCUAUCCGCUUCGGAGACCGGACGACACCCGCCUGGAAACCCACUAUUUCUAUGGUUUGACCUCGGAUCAGGUAGGGAUACCCGCUGAACUUAAGCAUAUCAAUAAGCGGAGGAAAAGAAACCAACAGGGAUUGCCUCAGUAACGGCGAGUGAAGCGGCAACAGCUCAAAUUUGAAAUCUGGUCCUUUCAGGUCCCGAGUUGUAAUUUGUAGAGGAUGUUUCGGCUCAGGCCCCGGUCUAAGUUCCUUGGAACAGGACGUCACAGAGGGUGAGAAUCCCGUUUGUGGCCGGCGGCUGCCGCCAUGUGAAGCUCCUUCGACGAGUCGAGUUGUUUGGGAAUGCAGCUCUAAAUGGGAGGUAAAUUUCUUCUAAAGCUAAAUACCGGCCAGAGACCGAUAGCGCACAAGUAGAGUGAUCGAAAGAUGAAAAGCACUUUGGAAAGAGAGUUAAAAAGUACGUGAAAUUGUUGAAAGGGAAGCGCUUGCGACCAGACUUGCCUGCGGAUGCUCAACCGGUCCUUCGGCCGGUGUACUCUUCCGCUGUCAGGCCAGCAUCAGUUCGGGCGGUCGGAUAAAGGCCUUGGGAAUGUGGCUCUCUUCGGGGAGUGUUAUAGCCCUCGGUGCAAUGCGGCCCGCCU